CAUAGUAAACAUUGAACUUGCAAUUGAAAGUAUAUUGUGUGAUUACGAAGCCACAGUACUAGCUUUAGACAUUCAUAUUAAAAGGCUUGUCCUGAAAACAACUCUUUAUUUCUUGGUGUACUUUUUGUGGAAUUUUUUGGGAAUGUUUAAGGAAGUUUCUAUGUAACUAUUUUCAAGUAUAUUUCGGGAACUUAUAUUCAAAGCAUAAACAAACCCAAGUUGUACCUAUUUCUGUGAAGAAACUGAGAGUAAAUCCAUUUCAAUCAAAAUGUGCUAUCCGUGCUAUUCCUGCUGUGGAUCCUGUGGACCUUGCGGACCCUGUGGAUCUUGCUGUGGAUCUUAUUGUGGUCCCUGUCGCAGUGGAUGUGGUCCCUACUGUGGAUCCUGCUGUGGUGGUUGUGGACCUUGCUGUGGUGGCUGUGGACCUUGCUGUUAGCAUCUUCAGAACGAAAUUUAGGUACACCACAUUAAUUAUUUCAUUAAAUUAAUUUAUGUAGAAUUUACAAAAUGUCAUUAAAAUGGGACAAGCCUUGAA
Long non-coding RNA from Drosophila nasuta, 535 nucleotides. RefSeq lists it as uncharacterized. The record is from RefSeq and is a predicted model, not a curated record. The transcript is spliced from 3 exons. NCBI's taxonomy places the organism in Eukaryota, Metazoa, Arthropoda, Insecta, Diptera, Drosophilidae.